CCUACGGGAGGCAGCAGUGGGGGAUAUUGCACAAUGGGGGGAACCCUGAUGCAGCGACGCCGCGUGGGUGAAGGAGUGCUUCGGCAUGUAAAGCCCUAUCGGCAGGGGAGAAACAAGACGGUACCUGCCUAAGAAGCCCCGGCUAACUACGGGCCAGCAGCCGCGGUAAUACGUAGGGGGCGAGAGUUAUCCGGAUUCACUGGGGGUAACGGGAGCGUAGACGGCCAUGCAAGCCAGGGGUGAAAGCCCGGGGCCCAACCCCGGGACUGCCCUUGGAACUGCAUGGCUGGAGUGCGGGAGGGGCAGGCGGAAUUCCUGGUGUAGCGGUGAAAUGCGUAGAUAUCAGGAGGAACACCGGCGGCGAAGGCGGCGUGCUGGACCGCGACUGACGUUGAGGCUCGAAAGCGUGGGGAGCGAACAGGAUUAGAUACCCGAGUAGUC
This 441-nucleotide ribosomal RNA is filed under the name uncultured bacterium. RNAcentral's name for it is "partial 16S ribosomal RNA". It matches the Rfam family "Bacterial small subunit ribosomal RNA", at positions 338 to 795 of the family's 1533-position model. The record is from RNAcentral.